UGGGGAAUAUUGCACAAUGGGCGCAAGCCUGAUGCAGCCAUGCCGCGUGUAUGAAGAAGGCCUUCGGGUUGUAAAGUACUUUCAGUCGGGAGGAAGGUGGUAAGGUUAAUAACCUUAUCAAUUGACGUUACCGACAGAAGAAGCACCGGCUAACUCCGUGCCAGCAGCCGCGGUAAUACGGAGGGUGCAAGCGUUAAUCGGGAUUACUGGGCGUAAAGCGCACGCAGGCGGUUGAUUGAGUCAGAUGUGAAAUCCCCGGGCUUAACCCGGGAAUUGCAUCUGAUACUGGUCAGCUAGAGUCUUGUAGAGGGGGGUAGAAUUCCAUGUGUAGCGGUGAAAUGCGUAGAGAUGUGGAGGAAUACCGGUGGCGAAGGCGGCCCCCUGGACAAAGACUGACGCUCAGGUGCGAAAGCGUGGGGAGCAAACAGG
This 429-nucleotide ribosomal RNA is filed under the name Chloroflexota bacterium. Its description in RNAcentral is "Chloroflexi bacterium partial 16S ribosomal RNA". It matches the Rfam family "Bacterial small subunit ribosomal RNA", at positions 355 to 776 of the family's 1533-position model. Lineage: Bacteria; Bacillati; Chloroflexota. The record is from RNAcentral.